This 466-nucleotide ribosomal RNA is filed under the name uncultured bacterium. RNAcentral describes it as "bacterial SSU rRNA". It matches the Rfam family "Bacterial small subunit ribosomal RNA", at positions 329 to 792 of the family's 1533-position model. The record is from RNAcentral.
UGCCAGACUCCUACGGGAGGCAGCAGUGAGGAAUAUUGGUCAAUGGGCGCGAGCCUGAACCAGCCAAGUCGCGUGAGGGAGGACGGCCCUACGGGUUGUAAACCUCUUUUGCCGGGGAGCAACGGGCGCCACGUGUGGCGUCACUGAGAGUACCCGGAGAAAAAGCAUCGGCUAACUCCGUGCCAGCAGCCGCGGUAAUACGGAGGAUGCGAGCGUUAUCCGGAUUUAUUGGGUUUAAAGGGUGCGUAGGCGGAUCUUUAAGUAGGUGGUAAAUUGGGGGGACCCACCCCCUCCCCGCCAUUGAAACUGGCGUUCUUGAGUGGAAGAGAAGUAUGCGGAAUGCGUGGUGUAGCGGUGAAAUGCAUAGAUAUCACGCAGAACCCCGAUUGCGAAGGCAGCAUGCCGGCUUCCGACUGACGCUGAAGCACGAAAGCGUGGGGAUCGAACAGGAUUAGAUACCCCAGUA